UCUGGUGUCAGCCGCCGCGGUAAAACCAGCACCUCAAGUGGUCAGGAGGAUUAUUGGGCCUAAAGCAUCCGUAGCUUGCUCUGUAAGUCUCCGGUUAAAUCCAUUAGCUCAACUAAUGGGCUGCCGGAAAAACUGCAAAGCUAGGAAGUGGGAGAGGUAGACGGUACUCGGUAGGAAGGGGUAAAAUCCUUUGAUCUAUUGAUGACCACCUGUGGCGAAGGCGGUCUACCAGAACACGUUCGACAGUGAGGGAUGAAAGCUGGGGGAGCAAACCGGAUUAGAUACCCGGGUAGUCCCAGCUGUAAACGAUGCAGACUCGGUGAUGCCCUGGCUUGUGGCCAGUGCAGUGCCGCAGGGAAGCCGUUAAGUUUGCCGCCUGGGAAGUACGUACGCAAGUAUGAAACUUAAAG
Molecule: ribosomal RNA, 410 nt
Filed under: uncultured Nitrososphaerota archaeon
Lineage: Archaea; Thermoproteati; Nitrososphaerota
Description: bacterial SSU rRNA
Rfam family: Archaeal small subunit ribosomal RNA
Source: RNAcentral